CCAGGAGGAAAGAGCUCUCUUCUGUGGAAAAGAAGGGAAGCCUGAUGAAGGAGCAGCAUCUGACAGCUGUGGGAUGAAGAGCUCUGUUGCUUUAUCUCAUGACUUCUGGCAGUGUUCCAUACUCAUUCCCUGGCCUCACUAAGGGCAGGACCACACUAAUCAUAUGUUCCAGGCUGAAAGAGGAGGUGGAGCAGUGCAAAUGGCUCAGGGACAGCAGCGCCGAGGUGCUAAGAAAGCACAUAUCUGGAGUUACUCUCUCAGGAUCACAUGGACUCAUCCAUCACCUUGGCUGGAAGGAGAGACCACUGAUGGCCUGAUUGGUCACAGCAGAGCCCUGUGAGGGAGAUGUAGGUGUGAUCACCACCCCUGUAGCUCCAGAUGUCCUAGGUGACAUGUAAGGCCACCUGCGGAACUGCCUUGUGCAGCUCCUCCCUCAAGUAUUGCCUGCAUGCCUCAUACAGGGAGGGCACCACUGGAAAGGAUGAGGCCAUGAGUGCCAUGAGCCAUCUGAACCCUGGCCGCUCAACUAAGGAGAAGAACUGGGCAUCAGCAGUAAGCACCUCCCCAGUGCUCUGGGUGAUCUUGCUCUACCUUGUAACAUGCUCCACUGUUUGUCCUCCUUUUCCCCACUGUUCCAGGGUGGCCUGCCUCUGCUUUGGGGGGAAAGGGGCUUUGGAGCGAGAGGGGGACUUCCCUUUGGGCAUGCUCCCACUCAUGCCAGGCUGAGGUGGAGCAAGGGCAAGGGGGUGGUGCAUGUAUUGGCAUUAGGGUUUUGUGAGUCUUCGUAUCCUGCUUCGGAUCCGGAGCUGCUUCAGAUACUUUGGCGUCUGAAGCGGCAUGCCUGGAUCGAAGCGGGGUCUCGGCAAUGAUAUCCAAAGCAGGUCGGAGCAUCCAAAGAGCUUUGGAUCUGCUUCAGAUGCUUUGGACCUGCUUUGGCCAUCUUGAGUCACAAUUAGAAGAG
Alligator mississippiensis (American alligator) is the source of this 961-nucleotide long non-coding RNA. RefSeq lists it as uncharacterized. Lineage: Eukaryota; Metazoa; Chordata; Crocodylia; Alligatoridae. The record is from RefSeq and is a predicted model, not a curated record. The transcript is spliced from 4 exons.